RNAcentral lists this unclassified non-coding RNA (231 nucleotides) under plant metagenome. RNAcentral's name for it is "partial contains small subunit ribosomal RNA and internal transcribed spacer 1". The stretch from base 1 to 46 matches the Rfam family "Eukaryotic small subunit ribosomal RNA", at positions 1786 to 1831 of the family's 1831-position model. The record is from RNAcentral.
AAGUCGUAACAAGGUUUCCGUAGGUGAACCUGCGGAAGGAUCAUUACUGAGUAAGGGUUCUUUUGAGCCCGAUCUCCAACCAUUUGUUUAAAUUACCUUGUUGCUUUGGCAGGCCCGCCCUUUUCGGAGGGCCGCCGGAGGGGUUCAAUCACCUCUGGUCAGUGCUUGCCAAUAGCCAACCUAAAUUCUUUUAAUUAUGUUGUCUGAAUCUUUAAUAAAAAAUUAAUAAAA